UUCGGGAAGCGAGCGUACACAGGUGCUGCACGGCUGUCGUCAGCUCGUGUCGUGAGAUGUUGGGUUAAGUCCCGCAACGAGCGCAACCUCGUGUUUAGUUGCUAACAGUUCGGCUGAGAACUCUAAACAGACUGCCUACGCAAGUAGGAGGAAGGUGAGGACGACGUCAAGUCAUCAUGGCCCUUACGGCCAGGGCUACACACGUGCUACAAUGGGGUAUACAAAGAGCAGCGAUACGGUGACGUGGAGCAAAUCUAGAAAAUGCCUCUCAGUUCGGAUUGUAGUCUGCAACUCGACUACAUGAAGUUGGAAUCGCUAGUAAUCGUAGAUCAGCAAUGCUACGGUGAAUACGUUCCCGGGUCUU
Molecule: ribosomal RNA, 364 nt
Filed under: uncultured Arcobacter sp.
Lineage: Bacteria; Pseudomonadati; Campylobacterota; Epsilonproteobacteria; Campylobacterales; Arcobacteraceae
Description: bacterial SSU rRNA
Rfam family: Bacterial small subunit ribosomal RNA
Source: RNAcentral